Long non-coding RNA from Episyrphus balteatus (marmalade hoverfly), 552 nucleotides. RefSeq lists it as uncharacterized. The transcript is spliced from 4 exons. NCBI's taxonomy places the organism in Eukaryota, Metazoa, Arthropoda, Insecta, Diptera, Syrphidae. The record is from RefSeq and is a predicted model, not a curated record.
UGGCAAUGGUAGGGUAGUUUAGUAUGUAGAAAAAAAAAGAACGAAAUAUGUCCAAAUCUCAAAAUGGAUGCAGUUAUCUUCUUCUUUUGAGGGGGCAAAUGUAAAAAAAAUGUAUGGCUUCUGUUCUGAUAAUCUUUGCAAUUGAACUGUCACAGAGAAGCAGUCCUUUUACAGGGUGAAAUGUGAUUGGGACUUGUCUGGACUUGCUUGUCACAGAGAAGCAGUCCAUUUACAAGGUGAAAUGUGAUUGGGACUUGUAUGAACUUGCUUGUCACAGAGGAGCAGUUGAUUUACAAGGUGAAACGUGAUUGGGACUUGUGUGGACUUGCUUGACGUUGUACCAUAGAUCACAGGUGUGUUUCACUCCUGAGCUGCAGAUUGAAUUGCUCUUGCCCAAAGUUUGUUGGAUGCAUUUGUGUCACCUCCACAGUGAUUCUGUUGGCCAAGGACAGUAAUGAUAUUCCUUAUUCUAGAUGGGUAGGAUUCCCAGCUGUGGUGUUCUACCGUUCAUGUGGUGGAAGCAACAUUUUGAAAUAAAAAUAAUUUUAAUAA